This 439-nucleotide ribosomal RNA is filed under the name uncultured bacterium. Its description in RNAcentral is "partial 16S ribosomal RNA". It matches the Rfam family "Bacterial small subunit ribosomal RNA", at positions 339 to 795 of the family's 1533-position model. The record is from RNAcentral.
CUACGGGGGGCAGCAGUGAGGAAUAUUGCACAAUGGGGGAAACCCUGAUGCAGCAACGCCGCGUGGAGGAUGACGCAUUUCGGUGUGUAAACUCCUUUUAUGAGUCAAGAAAAUGACGGUAGCUCAUGAAUAAGCACCGGCUAACUCCGUGCCAGCAGCCGCGGUAAUACGGAGGGUGCAAGCGUUACUCGGAAUCACUGGGCGUAAAGGACGCGUAGGCGGGCUUGUAAGUCAGGUGUGAAAUCCUACAGCUUAACUGUAGAACUGCACUUGAAACUACGAGCCUAGAGUAUGGGAGGGGCAGAUGGAAUUAGUGGUGUAGGGGUAAAAUCCGUAGAUAUCACUAGGAAUACCGAAAGCGAAGGCGAUCUGCUGGAACAUUACUGACGCUAAGGCGUGAAAGCGUGGGGAGCAAACGGGAUUAGAUACCCGAGUAGUC